UAGUGAUUGGUGUAAAGGCACAUUUCAUUUUGAUUGAAAAAGAGACAGUGUAAUUCUGUUGUUACUAA
RNAcentral lists this transfer RNA (68 nucleotides) under Capitulum mitella. RNAcentral describes it as "tRNA-Gln". The record is from RNAcentral. Lineage: Eukaryota; Metazoa; Arthropoda; Thecostraca; Pollicipedomorpha; Pollicipedidae.